Long non-coding RNA from Cavia porcellus (domestic guinea pig), 18368 nucleotides. RefSeq lists it as uncharacterized. The record is from RefSeq and is a predicted model, not a curated record. The transcript has 4 exons. Lineage: Eukaryota; Metazoa; Chordata; Mammalia; Rodentia; Caviidae.
UCAGGGCUUAGCGUUGGUCUGUCUACCCAGGCUGCAAGUGCGAUUCAGAAUCUACCCUGCAGGGAACCGGUGAAGAAACUGAGGCCCACAAGCACAGAGUUGGAGCGCCCCUUCCAAGGCACAGCUGAAUGUCCGCUGGAGUUGUGCCGUAUCCUUUUUUCCCCAGGCGCCACCCUAUCCCGAGACCUCAUGUACCUGCCCAUCUGGGCACCUGCUUUCCUGGAGUGAAUGCUUGCUAGGCAAGUAUUCCUAGGGCUGGGCAUGCAAUGAAAGGAAACUCAACGCUGCUGUCAUGAAUAUGUCAUCUUGUGGGGGAGGCAGACAUAAGUGACAUAGUUGCUCAAGUAAAUGGAAAUGUUGAACGUUAUCAAGUAAGGAGAAACUCAGAGUGCCGCGAGCAUGAGUAAGCAAAGGGACCUGCCCAGUCCCGGGGUCAGGAAAGGAAUGCUAGACAGCCAGAGCGAGCAGGAGUUACCUUGGAAAGGGAGUAGACCGUGGCAGCAGUCUCACCUAGGGAGAGAACUGCAAGCCCGCGGACCAGCAAGGGGAUGGCAUGGAGGCGAUGUCAGCCAGGAUCAGCAAGGCCAGCAGGCAUGGACCGGAAGAAGAAUGUGGAAUCACUGAAAGAUUUUAACCACAGCAGUGAUGUCUGAGUUUGCAGAAUGGAUGUGUCCAGAGGAGACAAACAGAUGCUCGGCCUGUCCUCAAGGGCUUCCAUCAGAAUUCAUCCUUUGACUUCGGGGAACUCUGUGUAUUUGACAUCUAGCGUCUCCCAUAUACCAGGAGGACUAUGUACAAUGUGUCACCUGAGAAUGUCACUGUGUUCGGGGAGAUCCUUGAUGUCUGAGGCCUAACAAAUGACUAUAAAGGUUUUAUACAUUGGCAUCUUUGUGUCUUCACUGAACUGCCAGUGUUAUUUUUUUGGUAUUGAGAAUUGAACUCAGGACCUUACAUUUGCCAGGCAGACACUUAUGCUGCUGAGCUAUAUCCCUGGCCCCUACUGCUCCCUAUUUGCGAUACCCCUCCCUAUUUGUCCCAGGCCCACUGAUGUGUAACUCCUUGCUUAUGCUACAUUUUUAUUAACUUAUGAAUCUAUUAAUUUUUUUAGCUUAUUUUAACUGUUACUGUGUGUGUGUGUGUGUGUGUGCGCGCGUGUGUGUGUGUGUGUGUGUGUGUGCAGUAUCGUCAAACCCAGAACAUGUCAAAGGUUGGGCAAGUGCUCUACCCCAGUAUCAUUCCACCAGCUCCUGGAUUAUUUCUAAAUUCAUUUUCUAGCUUUUUAACAUUUUAAAUUUUAUUUUAUUUUAUUUUAUUUUAUUUUAGCUUUUUGAGCCUCUUGUAUUCACUGUUUUUCUUCCAUUUAUACUUUAUUGAAAGUUAUUUUUGGGUUUGGGUUUUUUUCUUGUUGUUUUGUUUUUCUGAGACAAGGUCUCAUCACACAGUCGAGGUUGCCUCAAAUUUGCAAUCCUCCUGGCUCAGCUUCCCAAGCACUGGGACUCGGGGUGUGACACUAGCCCUGGUGAGCUAUGUAUUUUCCUCCUGAGUGCUGCUUUAGCUGUGCUCUUAGAGGCUUUGCAUGGUGUGUUUGUUAUUUCUGUUUCCUAGACAUUGCUGGUUCAGUUUGUGUCUUCCUUUUCCUCACACCCCCAGGCAGAAGGGCACUUUUCCUUUGUGUUCUGAAUGUUGUACAUGAUGAAGUUUAGUGCGUUAUUAUUAUAGAACAGUAUCUUUUUUUUUUUAUCGGUACCAGGGAUCGAACUCACAACUGCCUGCUUGCAAGGCAGGUGCUUAUGCUGCUGAACUAAAUCCCCAGCCCCUAUAGAACACUGUCAAUGUUAUUUUUAUUUUGGAAAUUUAAUGCAGUUUUGUUCGUGAACUCAUGUAAUCUUUUGUUUAUACAUGGGUACCUUCAUAUGUGUGUCCACAGUAUCCCAAAGCAUUUGAAAAGAUUCUGUUUCUGUUUCAAUACACAAAAUCUGAUCCAUCAAUAUUUACCUUUUUGAUACUAUUGUUUGGACUUCUAGAUCUUCAUUUACUUUUUUAAUCAGAAUUAUUUGCAUGUACUAAUUGAGCCAUUUCUUUCUUUUUUGUGGUAGUGGGGAUUGAACUCAGGACCUCGUGUAUGUUAGCUGUGGUAGUUACUUUUUUACUCAUUGCUGAGAAAGUACCUGAUGCCCAAAGUUAGGGAAGGAAAGGUUUAUUUCUUACAGCUUUUGGAGGUUUCAGUCCAUACUCAGUUGGCUCCAAGGCAGGGUGGCAUGGUGGGGCCGCAGUUCAAGGCAACUACAAAGGCAAGUCAGAAACCAGCAAGAGAGAGACACACUCUCUUCCGGCCAUUACAUCACAUCCUGGCUCCAUCCCUGGGCGGGUGAAAUAUUCACACCACCAAUCCGAGCGCUAGGCUUAAGCCAAUCACAAACGCUAUAUUUGGUCCAGUCCAUAAUUCAUGAGGCUUGGGGGCCACUGGCAUAAACCAUGACACUAGGCAAGCCUCUACCACUGAACUACACCCUUAGCGCAAUUGAGUCAUUUCUUCAUGACAUUUUCCUUCAUCCUCAUUUAUACCUAGACUGUAUCCUCCCUGCCAACCAUCUUUCUCAUCCGCAGUCUGCCCCUGUUCUCUUCCCUCUUCCUCGGUUACAUCCCGUUUCCUCUCAGGUUGGAGUUUGUUUUGUUUUGGUUCCCUGGGUUUCACAUAGGCGAGACAACACUCAGGAGUCAUCCUUCCGAGUCUGGCUUCCUUCAGUCACCACCACGAUCUCUGGUAGAUCCAUUGCCUACAGAUGGCUGGACUGCCCGCUUCCUUAUAGUUCAGUACUGCUCCACCAUGCGUGUGUACCCUCCGUGAUGGGCAUCUAGCAUGAUUUUCUAGUUGGACAACUUUGAAUGGAGCUUUAAUAAAUAGAUGAGUGCUGGUGUCUCUAUCAUGUAGUAACUUUGAUUGCUUCUGCUGUAUACUCAGGAGUCUUCAUAGAGUUUAGUGUUUUUGUUUGUGUUUUUGAUGUAUCAGGAUUGAACCCAGGACCUUAACCCUGAGUUCCAUCCUCCAUCCUUUUGGUUUUUAAAAUUCUGAGAUACACUGUUGUUAAAUUGCUAAAUUCCUAGGCUGGGCUCCAAUUUGAAAUCCUCCUGCCUCAGCCUUCCAGAGUGCUGGGAUUGCAGGUGUGCACCAUCAUACCACCAUCAUACCUAGCUUAUUUGUAAUUUCUGGAGGAACUUCCAUGUUGAUUUCCACAGUGGCCAUCAGCAGUGUGUAAGUUUCCUUUUUCUUCACAUCCUCACCAACUAUUUUUUCACUCAUUCAUUCAUUAGGAUUAAGCCCAGAGGUGCUCUAACACUAAGCUACAUCCCCAGCCCUUCCUAUAUUUUGUUUGAUACUAGCUCUUGCUAAAUUGCACAGGCUGGCCUUAAAGCUAACACUUCUCCUGCCUCAGCCUCCCAAGUAUGUGGGAUUACAGGUGUGUACCACCAUUCCCAGCAGCAUCUGCUAAAGUUUUUUGUUUCUCAAUAACAACCAGUCUCACUGGGAUGAGAUAGAAUCUGAGUGUGGUUGGUUUGCAUUUCUCUGAUGGCUAAUGAUGUUGAGGAUUUUUUUCAUAAUUAUUCUCCAUUUUUAUUUCUUUUGAGAAGUGUUUAUUUAGUUAAUUUGACAUUAUUGAUGGGACUGCUUAUUCUUUUGGUGUUGUUUUGAGUACUUUUUUUUUUUUUUUUUGUCUUUUUCAUUUUUAUCGGUACCGGGGAUCGAACUCACGACCACCUGCUUGCAAGGCAGGUGCUUAUGCCGCUGAGCUAAACCUCCAGCCUCUUGUUUUGAGUUCUUUAUAUAUUCUGUAUACUAAUUCUCUGACUCAUAGUAUAGUUUGCAAGUUUGUCAGCAUUGUUGAAUGCAAGACUCUAGAACCAAACUACUGCUCUCUUCCUCCUAAAGUGAAACAUUUUCCCGAUUUAAAAGCAUGUACUAAAAACAUUUAAUCAGUGCUGUUUUGACUUCUACUUCCAAACAAACUACUACUAUAGAGAGCCUUUUUCUUCCUUCUGCUGAAUCUCGAGAAGGCAAUUCCUGAUUCAUAAGACCAUGCACACUUUCAAACCUUUUUUCUGUUUUGCCAAAAUUACUCCCCAGAAAGCGUGCCCCUGAGUCCCCCGUGCUUACCUCUUACAGCUGAUGAUGCGGCCGCGGUGCCUACCUGCGCUCCCAUUCUUGAAUUCACAGACGCUCUGGAGCAGCUCCCACUUGUGGCUGGUGUCCUGGAGAAGCCCAGGCCCAGAAGCCCCAGCACUGACUCAUGCAGCCAGCGGUAACAGCAGCUCCUCCUGACUCACCCUCCAGCAACUCUGCGGCGUCCACACCCAGAAGGGCCAAUUUGACCAGGGCAAAUUCCUCUGGAAAUGGUUCCUGGAGGUGCCUAGCAGGUGGUGGAAACAUGAACCAUGGCCGCCUGCUUUCCUCUUUAUUUGCACCAGAGACAAGUGUUUUAAAUUUGUAAUGGUUGUGGCAGGGUGGUGCACACCUGUAAUUCCACCAACCUGGGAGGCUGAGGCAGGAGGAUUAUAAAUUUGAGCCCAGCCUGGGGAACUUAGUGACUUAACAAGACCCCCAUCUGAAAAUAAAAAAGGGUUGGGGAUAUGCUCAGUGGAAAGGCCCAGGGUUCAGUUGCCCCAAGUCAAACCAACAAAAAACAAAACCACAACAAAAACUCACUAGAUAGUAAGUAUGUAUCAAGGAGGGAAAAAAUUUAUUUUUCCUUCACACCCGAUGAAAUGUUCAAAAGUGACCCAGCGACCUGAAGACAGGGCUUUAUUCGGUUUUGAAAAAACUGAAAGUGAAUGUAUUACAAAUACUAAGUAGGGCGGGUUAUGGUGGCCCACACCUGUAAUCUCAGCCACCUCAGGAGGCCGAGACCAAGGCAGGAGGAUUGUGUGGAGUUCAAGACCAACCUGGAUUACCAAACCAACCUGAACUAUAUAGCAAAACCCCGUCUCAAAAGAAUAAAUAAAAACGGUAAAGCUAGACUCUCAGCUUCAAUCUCCAACUGACCUACAGUGAUUGUGGAAAUAUCUAAAUUCUCAGAAACCUGACUCCCAUACCACAGGACUUUCACAGGGACAGAUAAUAUGCAAAAACGUUUACUAAGCACUUAUGAUAAUUGCCUCAACUUAGCAUGGCAAGGCCACAGAGGUUGCAGCCCCCAAAGGCUUCCUACUGCAGAAAGUUACCCCAAUGCUGGGGCCGGAGCGCAGGUAGUAAGGGUUAGAGUCAGGCUGGCGUCUGUCUUACACAAGUCUGUCCAUUAAAGCAUUAUUUGUACUCAUAGAAGGCGACAGUUUCCAUAGGAGAAUAUCCCAGCCUGUCGAAGACCUAAGUGUGACUUUUCCUACUGAAUUAGACAAGACCCGAGGUAACCAUAAAAUUGGCGUGCUUUUUAAAAAAGCAGUCUGGCUGUCUUACUUUGCUGGAAGGAGGCUUGGUGUUCAGAUCAGAGAAAGCUAAACUCCUUUGUUGUUUUGGUGCUUUGAGCCAUAUCCGAAGACCUUCAGCCCAGAGCCCCUUAUUUUAAGCACAGCAUUGAGGAACCGAAGUGUUCACAGGAAGGAGAGGCAGGAGACCAGGUAACAGGCAGAGAGCUAAAGAAUCCGGUCAGAGGGGCCCUGCGGCAUCUAUACAGAUCUGAAGGGCUAUCUUGGAGAAGGAGGCUCAUUCUUUUUUUUUUUUUUUUUUCAGAGUAAGCAUAGGGCCAAAAUAUUAAUGCCCUGUGCGGCCAGAUUUAUCUCUUCCCAUCCCCAUUUAGAGGAGGAAAGGGGUAUUGGGCCUCAGUCCUUGCAUAUAGAAAGCACAUCCCCUGCCACUGAGGUACCCCCCCAGCCUUCAGAUUUCAUCUUUUAAACAGAAGAACUGCAAACAGUCACAGCUGACACAUACAAAAUACUCCCUUGCAUUGGACAGAGUGUCCUGUCAUUGGGACAAUUCAAGUAAAUGGCCAUCUUAAUCUCUAUACUAAAUUCAUGUUUGAACUAGACACAAGUAUUUUACUUUUUUGUUAUUUUUUUUGUUUUUGGUACUGGGGAUCAAACUCACGACUAUGCGCUUGCAAAGCAGGCACUUCGCCGCUCAGCUAAAUCCCCAGCCCUUUAUUUGUUUGUUUGUUUUUUUAAGAAAAUCCUAGCUGGUAGUGAUGGCACAUGCUUGUAGUCACAGAUACUCAGAAGGCUGAGACAUAAGUUCGUUUUUCAUUUUUGUUUCGGCACUGGGAAUCAAACUCAGGACCUUGUGCCUGCCAGGCAGGCACUUAUGCUACUGAGCUAAAUCCCCGGCCCAAGACACAAGUUCUUGAUCACAAGUUCAGAGGCAGCCUGGGCAACUUAGCAAGGCCUGACUCAAAGUAAAACAAAACAGGUUAGGGAUGUAGCUAAGUAGGAGAGCACUUGGUAGCACUGGUGAGAUUCUCAGUGCAGUUUGCAGUGGACAGAGGAAAGGAAGGCAGGAAGGAAGGAGGGAGGAGGGGAAAGAAAUAUGACCCAAUCACUUGUUCCUAGUAAACUUUGAAAAUGCUUAAACAAACUUAUUUCUAUUCAUUCCAGUGGUUUUGUAGAGUAAGACCAUGUGGUAGUUUUGUUUUCUGUUUUUGUUUUGUUCUAGGGAUUGAACUCAGGGCUACAUCCACAGCCCUUUUUAAAAUUUUUUUAUUUUAUAGAUACUGUAUCACUAAAUUGCUAAAUCGCCCUGGUUGAUACCUAUUUGGCAAUCCUCCUGCCUCAGCUUCCCAGAAUGCUGAAAUUACAGGCAUGUACCACCACGCACAGCUAGUAGCUAAUCUUAAUUCCAACAGGACUUCCAAAACCUCUUGCCUAGCUGGCUGCUGUUGACACCUCCUUGCCAAAGGCAUGGUGAAUGUCAAAAUGAUGAAAAUGCUUUAUAUUUAUGCUCUGCGUUUUUAAAUAUUCAGAUUUUAAUUUCUUUAGUUUACCGUAUAAAUUUACAUCUGUGUGCUCCCAGAUGACAUAUUUAUGUAUUUCAGACAUUAGUUUAGCUUCCGGAAGACUUGUGUAUCUUUAAGAUCUGUUUUCUCUGUGGUGCUGGGUCUGUACCCCAGGGCCUCGGCCUACUAGGUGAGGGCCAUGCCCUUUAGCCACAUGCCCAGCCCCUCUUUCUGUGAACUGGCAGCAGUGGCUGUUAUGAUGGCUGUCUUACAAUACCAAGUCACCGCUCGAGAGUGGACCAGGAAGGUUCGUCCUUUCUUGCACACCUCCCAUGCUGUAUUAAUUGAAAAGGAAAUUUUCUAUUUUAUGGGAUUAAUGAAAGAAGCUCCAUUUCUGGCCCCCAGUUUAGCUAAUGGGUGUGUAGUUCUGGGGUAGACAUUUGCCUAGCAGAUGUGAGACCGUGGUUUUGAUCCUUAGCAUUGACUGUAAAAAAACCAAAACCAUCAAAUAGACAAAAUCCCCCAGGAUGCUCACUUAAAUUUAAACAAUAAAUAACUUUGUUAAUGUAAGUAUAAUCCCAUGAGUAUUUCGUCUGGCAACCCUACUGUCAUGGGAUGGGGUUUGAGGAGGUCCCCCAAGGAGGAGAUGGAGACCUCAACUCAGCUGUUAGAGCAGAUUCUUGAUACAUCUUCUUUUUUUUAAAUUUUAUUUUGAAAGUAGUAAAAAUACAACAGAACAAGACAGAACAAAGCCAACCGAGACAAUGCAGUGAAAUUGGUACAGAACUUCACAGCAGGAUACUGGGAUGGUAGUAAUAGGUACUAUGGUAUAUCUCGUUAUCUUCACAAUAGUUGUCCAGUCAAUUAGGUAUAGUGAAAUCAAACCAAAAACAGACCAUUAUAAAACCAAUUGAGAGUAUUGAAUAAAGCAAAAGAAACAUAACAAAACAAAACAGUGAAAACAAUCUUUGCCUUCAAACAGAAGAUAGAAGGAAAUCCCCCAUAUUUGUUACAUUGUAUAUGGUCAUCCACCCAAGAGAUGCUGAGACAUCUAUCCCCAGUAGCUAUGGGGGGAAAUGUUGAUUGUCAGCCCUCACACUGUAGGCUCACAAGAGCCCUGGUUCUCCUCCUGGCCCAGUCCGGGGCGUUUAACAAGAGGGCGGGAGAAUGAGCUGCCUCAGUCCCACCAAGGCCAGCCGGAUCUUGGGAUGCCUGGUUCUCCUUGAUUUAUCUUCUUAGAAAAGCAUUUCUGGAUGUGUCAGUGUGACCCAGGCAGGUGUGUAACAAAGAGUUUGAGAGGAAGAGAAAACACAGAAGGGACUUGAGUUUAAGGAGCAGAAGGGGCACCGCUCUAAUGGACAGGACCAGACUGGCCCUUUGACAAAAGGGAGAAAGAGAAGGGCAUGAGGCAGUUGGGGUGCACAGGGUCUGGCUGGCUGUGAUCUCAUUUUCCGUUCACACGGUGGCUGCCUGUCACUUAAUCUGGCCUCCGCGAGAUGACGGUCUCUGCUGGGGACAGCCUCAGCUUUGUGGCUGCUCUGCUAGAAUUCAAGGUGACCAUGCAUGGGCUUAGGUAAUGACUGCAGACACUGGGCCUUCAUCGGUAGUUGAGUGUCCCUGAAAAUCUCUUAUCUCCGUGUCCUUGGUCUCAAAGGGGAGGGAUGAGCUAGUGGUGUCAGUGUAGGGUUAACUGCCCUCUUACAGCCAUCUUUUAGACAGACAAUGUGUAAAGGACUAUCAUGCUUUUAUACAGAGCUAGUAAAUAAAUAAACAAACAAAUAAAAUAUACAGAGCGAAUGUAGAAUCUGACCCAGGGUUUUAAGGUAAUGGAGAAGACAGAUGCAAAAGAAAGUCAAGCUUUGCUCUGCAUUUAGAUAUUUACUGGGUGCUUGUAGGCCCAAAAAGAAUUAUUGUUUUUUAGUAAAAAAACACUUGUAAGCCUCUGACUGCCUCAGAAGAAAACACAAAUCAUGCUUUUUUUUUUUUUUUCUUUUGUCUUAUUGAGACAGGGUCUCACACGGUUCAGGCUGGUCUUGGGCUCACUUUGUAGCCCAGGCUGGUCUCGAACUCACAAAGACCCACCUGCCUCAGCCUCCUGAAUGCUAGGAUUACAGGAGUGUGCCGUCACGCUGGGCUAUAAAUCAUGUCUUUAAUGAAUAACUGGUUAAAGGCCCAGAGUUUGUCUUCUGUGCCUGGUUUCUCUAUCUGUGCCACUGCAACAUAUCAAGAUUUAAAUCACUAAAAGAAAGAAAACAAGCAGAAAGAGACAUAUAGAUAGACAGAGGUCCACAGAAUAGAAACAAAUCUGAGAUGUAAUUAAUACAUGGCAAACAUUUUUUGUUGUUUUUGGUUUUUGAGAGAGGCUGGCCUUGAACUCACUGUAAUCCUCAUGCCUCAUGCCUCAGGCCUCAUGCCUGAAUGCUGAGAUUAUAGGAGUUUGCUACCCGGACCUUGCUAAAGUAUUUUCUAUUAAUUUUUUGUUUAAAAAGCUUUUUUUUGUCGUGGGCAUCAAAUCCCAGGCCUCAUGCACUAGCGCUAAAGUGUGUGCCCUAGCACUGAACUGCACCCUCUGGCCCAUGGAUGUGUUUUGUCACUCUUGGGUCCUGACAAAGGCAGCACAAGAGACAAAUGACUUGGGAUCUCCCUUGUCAGCAAAUGGCUUCAAAUUUCCACUUAUUCCCCAUCUUUUCCUGCCCUGCACAAUGCCUGAUAUACAGAUCCAAGUUCCCCAGAGAGUAAAUUCCAGGAGUCCUGCAGGAACCCACACCCACCCUCGACCCGCAGCUGGCAGCUAGCUGGUCCUUGCAGGCUCCAGCUUCCAGUUCACCUGCUCUCUGGCAAUUUAGCCCCGCCCCAUCCCCUCAGGCCCCGCCCCAGGCAAUGCCCUAACUCUAAGGCACCACCCAGCGGGCCCCGCUCCUAUUCCCUCAGACCCCGCCCCUCAGACGAUUCCCACUCAGGCACCAGCAGCAGCCCCGCCCCCACUCGGAAGCCCCGCCCCGCGCCCCGCCCCCGCAGGCCCAGGCGCAGGCUUCCUCCUCCCUGUCUGACUCACCCCGCUCCUUCCUGCCUUUCACCUCUCUAAACCCUUGACAUCCUUCAUCUGCUGCUGCCUCUCCUGCUCUCAGAUACCUUGUCGCUCCUGCCUCUUGUUACUCCUUUAGAGUGUCGUUUUAGCGGGAUUUUGGAAGGAAGAGUUUGUUUAGUUUUGAUAGCCACAGGUUAGCAGGUUGGAGAGGGGGAGGGCACCCUGCUAGCAGGCCGGAGCGUGCUUCCCCUGGCUGGACAGAUGACAGGGCCACUUUUUAGGACUCUGUUAUGGAUUAAGAACUGGUAGUCAACUUAACGCCAGCUGGAUUUCUUCAGCAUGGCACUGAGCAUAGAUGCUGCUGCACCUGAGGAAAGUUGCCAGCAUAAAUAGUGAGAUGGAGGAGAGCGUUAAUGCGUUGUUGCAUUGAGGCAUUGUGGGUUCUCCUAUGUGUUGCUGUUUGAACGUUUGGUUCUCCUGGAGAAGCUCAGGUCCUCACAUCAAGCAUUGCUUCCUGGCUCCAGAGGGAAAGACGUGUGCUGCUUGGUCUCCAGGAUGAAUUCCUCACACUGGCUUCCUAGCAUGUACCCGACUAUGCUUGUCGUUGGAGGAGCUUGAGGCCUCCAUGUCGCUGAGGAUGGCUGUGUUGCCUUCAGGACAGCCGUGGUCUUUGUUGUGAGUGUGACUUCUCGACUCCAGCAUAGAACCCUCAUCCCACCACCACAGCUCCUUCACCCCGCUGGCAUGGAUUUUCUGGCUUCCACUGCUGACCUUUGGACCUUUCCGACAUGGAUCCGUAAAAGAGACUGGUGUGAGUCCUUUAUUUGGGCUCUGAACCUCCAGAUGGACUCGUGGGAGGCAUUGUCAUGAGCUCUCGGUUUUCAUCUGGACUCGUGGGACAUUGCUGUGGGAUUUAGGCUCUUGACUAAAUAUUCUAUGUCUUUGGUGUUGCGGAUAGAUUUCCUGCAUUUUCUUGUGUUAACUCAUGGUGACCAUUAUAAACAUAAUAUUAUAAAUUCCAUGUCCUGAUUCUAAUUGUUCUCUGUGCACAACCCCUGACUACAACAGACUCUAACCCUGGGCCCCUCCCUCGGAGACCCUGUCUCAGGUAGCCUGCAGAGGAAGCAGGAGUCUGCUCCGGGACUGUCCGGUCUCAGGCAUGGGCUGUGAUCCGAAAGCGGGGAGCAGAUGAGAGAACAGCAGUCGUGGUGUGAGGGCCAGAGUGGGGGUCCCGGAGGAGGGAAGUAAGAGGGAAACCAUCAAGCCAGCCGAGGAGCUGCUUGGACAGUGGUGUCCUUCCUGCAAGAGAACACGGCAGAGAAUGAAGCUGGGGGCCAGGGAUUGGGCGAUGAUGAAUCUAGAAGCCUCUGGCCCCAGACUGCAUGGAGCUGAGGAAAGAUGAGCGGGGUUCAGGUGGCUGGGCCCCACAUAGAUGAGCACACGGUGAACUCUGGACACACACGGCUCCCUUCGGAGAGAGGCUGCAAGGCUUGGGUCCAGAGAGCAGGCUUUGCAGUCUGGCUGCGCUGUGUGGACAUCCAGCCUGGUCCAUGCCACUCUGGCCAGACCACCUGCGCCUCCGUUCUGCAAACAGCUGGCUCGGUGUGGCCCUUGUGGUGACCUGACAAGGUGCUGCACACAGGGGACUGGCGCUGUGCCCGUGCAUGACACCCCCUGGAGGGCAGCACUAGAAGCAGUUCUGAAAUCUACCAAGGCCCAGCAGAAGCCAGGGAGCCCCGCUUCACUCGGCAUUGGGAGAUGGAAGGUUCAGGAAGGUGCAGACCCUUUCAUUCGUUGCUACCUGUUCCGUGUGGCUCUCUGGGUGUGUGCUCGGUGACGCCUUUUUGCCUGUGAUUUCUAGGACUUGUAGAGAAAUGACAGUCCCUUGCUGCUGCCUUUAAUUGGUGAGGAGCACAGAGCCCCGAGAUUAUAAUUAUGACAUCGUAAAUGUCAAGCUCUUCAAAAGUCUGCCGUGCCCUUGCUGUCACCCUGAACGGCUCCAGGAACCGAAACCUUGCAGCCCCCUCCUCUUUCUCCCCGAGCGUGCCCCGGGUGUCUCAGCCAGGCUUCAUCUGGGAAAUCUGAGUGACAGUGACGUGCAGGCAGCUGGAAGACGCGCAGUAAACCGAGGACCCUGUGAUGAGCUCAGAAGAGGUGACACCAGCCACAGAGCAGCUUCCUGGGGAUGCUUGUAUUUGCCGAACAUGCAAAAAAUGGGCAAAAAGGAAAUCCUUGCCGCUCCUCAAAGGUAUGCGUUCCUCAGUUCCACAGCCUCUCACCUGUCACCUGAAACUGCUGUUGUUUAUUUUCCAUACUGAGAUCCUGGCUCCCUGGCCAAAGUCACCUGAAAGGGGACAGCACCAGAGUGCUCCGCUUCCUGCAGCCAAGACUGCACUUAAGGACACGAAGCCACGAACCGACUGAGCUCGUGAACCAGGUUGUCCAGUCCGUGCUGGCCCUAUACUCACCUGCCAGCUGUGUGGCUUCAGGCAGAUUCUCUCCAAGACUGUCUGAGUUCUCUCUCUCUCUCUUCUGGGACAGGAUCUUGCUAUGUGGUUCAGGCUGGCCUAGAACUCACUAUGUAAUCUAGGUUGACCUCAGACUCACAAUGAACCUCCUGCCUCAGCCUCCCAAGUGCUGGGAUUAUAGGUGUGCAGCACCACGCCUGGCUGGGACUCAGUUUUCUUACCGGUAAAUUGGGGAUAAUAACGGAAGUUACCUCCCUGGAUUGGGGUGAAGAAUAAGAAAUAUAACAUAUGUAAGGCAGAAACAUCAGGCACAUACGGAACUCAACAAUAGGUAUCAAUAGAGACCCUCUGCAUGUCAGGAGCAUACCAGGUGUGGUCAGGCUGUGUCCAGCUGCCCAGCAUAGCAGCCUCUAUCCUGAGCACGUGGUUUGACCUGCCCUGUGGUUGCUUAGCAACCCCAUACUUGCCCUCAGGGUGGGAGCCUUGUGUGGGUCCUGGGGCAGCCUUCCCUGGCCAGUGGGGCUUUCACCUGAGGUCUCAGGUGUUCAUUUAAGAGUUGCAGGCGGUCACCUGCCCACCCAGGGGGCCCCGGUGCCUGGUGGGAGGCGCCCAUCUCGCCUGCCAGCUGGGCAUCCAGCAUGAAUUGCUGACUCAUGGGCACGGUAAGGCCCGGGCUCUUGGUACAUUCCCUCAUCUCCAGCUGUCAGCCAGAGCAUAAUUGUAGCUGUCACCUUGGCAGUGAGACACAACUGCCUCUGCUCCACUACGGCUUGAGAACUGGGGAGGUGGGAGGGGUCAACAGCUCCUCUGUGGAGAGGACCAGUCUGGAACAUGGUCUGCGUGAUGUGCGUUCACCCGGGGGCCCUGAGAGCACCAGGACCGGACCCUAGCACAGGCGCUGCCAGCGCGUGUGCCUACAGCAAAGCCAACCCAGUGAUUCUGUUAAUAGGAGAGGCUGGUGGCUGGGGAUUUAGCUCAGCGGCAUAAGCGCCCUGCCUGGCAAGUUUAAGGUUGUGAGUUCGAUCCUUGAUACCAAAAAAGUAAGAGAGGCUGGCACUGAGACCAGGCAUUGUUGGCAGCUGUGAGAAAUCAGAAACCAGCCUUAGAUAAUGCACAGGCUGGGCUUCAGGAUGGACGAGGUGAGAGACAGCCAGGGCCAAGCUGAAAAGCCGGGAAGCUGGAAGACCGGGCCGUGAAGCGUGGACUGCAUGCAGGAAGUCACCGGGAGCCCUUGACGGCCAGCAGGCAAGAGUGAUGUGCUCAGGUGACAUGGUGGAGGUCAGGGCUCAGUCUUGGAGCGGAAUUUGUGAAUGAAGCAGCCACAUGCCACGUGUGCAAAAGUAGGGGGCCACAGACACUCAGGCCAACGAUGGGGGAGGCUCUAGGGGGUGAAAGCGGGUCCCCCUGCAGGUAGGAGUAGCCUAUCUCCCCAGUACUCCCCACUAAGAAACAGCAGAGAAGGGCUGGGAAUUUAGCUCAGUGGCACAAGCGCCUGCCUGGCAAGCGCCAGAUCCUGAGUUCAGUUCCUGGUACCAGAAAAAAAGAAAAAAGCAGAGAAACAGCCGAGCUUGCUUGCUGGAGGAAUUCUUAGAAGAAAGGUUCUACUUGAGCACACGGAAAUCAGCGCCCUGUCACAGGGUGGUUAAGGAAGAGAAGAUGGUGAGGUGUGGAGAGCCAUUACCAGUGGACAGUCCACCUGAGAGUGCAGAUGCUGGCGCAUAUCUGGACCAUCAUAUCAGUCAGGGAGAAGGCAUGAUUCAGUCGACAAACAUUGUGCACAUCCUUGGAAGCACACUGUUGUGCAAGAAGUGGUUUGGUAGGGGUUUUCCCUUCAGCUGUAAGCAUCAUCGAGGGCAGGACGGCUUUCAGGCUGCCAGGGAGGAGAGGCGGGAGGAGCCAGGCUCCUGCUCUGGCACCGUCUUUUGGGAGCCGGGCUGGCAGGGGCAGGCACCGAGCAGUGAGGAAGUCCUGUCACCUGUGCAGCUCUCGAGGCGAGCUGAGUGUCUCGGGUGCCCAGAAUCCUCUGCCUGUGGGUGGGAACGCGAACCUCUUCCCUGAGGCAGGCAGCAGGUUACAAGCAUGUCACAGCCCGGUCAUAACCACUUCUGGCUGCCCAUGGCUGGUUUGGAGCCAGGUGCCAAGAGGCUGUCUUAGUAUUUGGUUUGUGUUUCCCUUUACAGUUUAUAAAAUGCAGUGAUAGCACGUGGCCCCGCUUGGUGCCCCCGCCUGGGAUCCGAGCAGCCUUGCUUUGCUUUCUUUUCUCACUCUGUCUUUUUCUCUCUCUUCUUUCUUUCUUGUGCCAGAGAUUGAACCGGGGCCUUGUGCACGCUUAUCAUGUGCUCAGCCAUCGAGCUGCCCGUCCAUGUCAAGUUAUCUGUUGUUUUGUUUUGGUUUUUGGUAUUUUUUGUUGUUUGUGAGGCAGGGUCUUGUUAUAUAUUCAAGUUGGCCUCAAGCUCACUACAUAGACCAGCGCAGCCUCCAACUUGAGACAGUCCUCCUGCCUCAGCCUCCUGAAUGCUGCGAUUAGAGGCAUGCACCACCGUGCCCAGCUCCCGUGUCAAGUUUUUAUAAUUGAACUGCUGUCUCUAGGAAAUUGAGCCAUGGUCUAGCCAAAGGUAGUGAAAGGCAGAGAUAACCCAGAAUGGUAAGGUAUUCGGGAUGCCCACUACAUUUCAACAUCGCCCACGAUUUCUCUCUAACUGGGACUUGGCUUCCUGCCGCCACGCCUCCCAGGCUCCCGCUCUGCCCUUCCCCGCUGUAUCACAGACUGGUCAGCCUGCAUUUUAAAUCCUGCCCAGAGUCACUUCGCAGUGGUCUCCAUCACCUCUGUCCUGUUUGCACCUGCUGACCCCAUCCUCGAGGGCCCUGGUGGUGGCCCCAGGCUGAAAACCUAAGCCAAGAGAACCAACUCAUCCCCAAGGCGGGGCCCAGCCAGUGCUCUGAGGUCUUGGCUUCCUUGGCUUCCUGCUCCUACGGUGGGGAACGCGGGGGUUGAGUCAGGCUGACUCACGAUGGGUCAUGAACCUCCAGCCUUGUAAAGGAUGACCAGGGGCUGUGCGGAAAAGGAUCAGAUGAGAAGCGCAAAGAGAGAGCCCUGUGUGUCCAGAGAGAGAGAGAGAGAGAGAGAGAGACAGAGAGACAGAGACAGAGAGAGAGAGAGACAGAGAGACAGAGAAACAGACAGAGACAGAGAGACAGACAGACAGAGAGACAGAGACAGAGAGACAGCGACACAGAGACACAGAGACAGAGACAGACAGAGACAGAGAGACAGCUAUCCAGUGAGCCUCCAGCUCCUCGGUGACUUCCUGCUUUCAGGGGCCCCCUCUGGCUGCAGCCAGCUUGGCUAGCUGGCUACCUAAGAGAGCACCACUGACAAAUGACCUAAGUCCUGAGGGGUGCGGCUCCCCUAUCCCCAGGCAUCCUGAGUCUCCUGCAGAUCCCGGCUGGGCACCUAGGAUCGGUGUGGUCCCACUGGGCCGGGAUCUGGAGGGCAGGGAGCAAGGGGCUCUGAGAACAGAAGACAGCAAGCCCAACUCGCUCUGUGCCGCUGGACUGUCAGUGUGCUUAAACAGGUGUUCUCGGGAGAGCACUGGCCUAGCGUGUGCGGGGCCCUAGCUUUGACCUCCAGCACUACAAAAAGAAAAGCUAUAUAAAGAUAGAGUAGGGUGAAGAGGGAAAAGAAGAUUAAAAAAAAAAAAAAGGGAGAAAUUGUGUCUUUCUGGUUGCUUCCCAGACCCCUGUGUGGUCCUUGAGAGCCGUCAGUCAUGGGGUCGCCUGCAGCUCCGGCGGGGCAGGAGGGCCCAGCACUCAACACAAAGUGCUCUGAGAGAAGAGGUGUCGUGCAGGUAGCCAGGCAUGAUUAACUAAUGGGCAGGCUCUCGGGCAGAGGAUCACAUUUCACAGACACAUACUCACAUAUAAUGUGGCUCUCACAAGCAGGAGCAGGAAAGGUUCAUUCAGCAUAAGGCAGGUUGGCAUAAGGCAAGCAGACUGAAAUAAAGGCUGCGGGUACCUUCUCUGCCCUCUUCACUUCCGCAGUGAGCAUGCAUUGAGCACCUACUGGAUGCCGAGCCUUGUACCAGCCGCUGAGGUGCCAGGAAAGCCAUAGCGAGCUGCUCCUGUCUGUGGUGCUGGAGGCAGAGGCUCGAGAGCUCUGGCGAGGGUGGUGGCCAGCUCAGGGGAGGAAAGCAGAGGGUAUUCUAGGCAGGAGGCCAUGGAGGUCCCAGCCAUAGCUCCCGAGUGGGCCCCAGGCCAGUGGAGAGGUACAAAGGGAAGCCCAGUGUUUCUGGAAAGUCGAGGAGCUGCUGGCUGAAGGGGGAAUUUGGGUCUUGGGAACCUCAGAGGGAAGUCCAGGCUUUGCUUGCAGAUGAUGGGGUUUGACCACGGGGUGCUGAGAUCAGACCUAUGUUCCAGAAUAAUCGCUGUGGCCACUGCUGGAUGCUCCAGCAACUACAGGCAGGAAAAGCCUCCAGGGGCUAUGACAGGCACAAGUGCAAGGAGUGGAGGAGAGGAGUAGAGGGGACUGGUUUAGGGUAUGGGAGCCAGGCAUGGUGAUGCACACCUGUAUUCCCAGCACUCGGGAGGCUGAGGCAGGAGGAGCACUAUGAAUGUGAGCCCAGCCUGGGCUACGAAGAGAGUUCAAAGCUAGCUUGAACUACACAGCAAAGUACUGUCUCAAAAGAAAAGAAAGAGAGAAAGGAAAAGAAGGAAAGAAAGGUUUUGUAGCUGGAUAUGGUGAUCCACAGACGUAAUCCCAGUGCUCUGGAAGGCUGAGACAGGAAGAGGACAAGUUUGGACCCAGCCUGGGCAAUUUAAUGAUUUAAGGAGACUCUGUCUCAAAAUAGAAAAUUGAAAGGGUCGGGGACAUAGCUCAGUGUGAAGGCCCUGGAUACAACCCCAGCACUACCACCAGCAAGAACAAAAGCAAAACAUUUGGGCCAGAAUUUAACCUGAGGGGCUGGACGAGACUGCCCUCGAGUCUGUGGUCGGAUGACUGCUAGGUGAGACUGUCACGUCACAGGAGGGAGAGGCCGCAGGGCAGGGGUGCUGGGUGGCGGCACCUGCGGUUUGAGCCCUGUCCUGGGUGGAGGAGCUGGGGGAUCCUGGGAGAAGCAUCCCACAGGAGCCAGACUGGGGGCUGGACACAGUGCGGGGAGUGGUGUGGGGAGGGAGAGGGGAAGUGCAGGGACGUCCUGCCCUUUUGCCCCCAGAUUCUCAGGUGCUGAGAGUGACGCAGGGGCAGGGGUAGAGGGUACUGGGAAACUCGUCGUGGGAAAUAAGCCGUGGACCCCCGCCUGGCACUACUGAGACCUUUGUGGGACAUGGUGGCGCACGCUUGGAAUCUCAUCACUCAGGAGGCUGAGGCAGGAGGAUUGCUGUGAGCUCAAGGCCAGCCUGAACUGCAUAGAGAGACCUUGUCUCAAAAAGACAGAAGAAGGAGGAGGAGGAGCAGGAGGAGAAGGAGGAGGAAGAGGAGGAGAAGAAGAAGAAGAAGAGGAAGAGGAAGAAGAGGAAGAGGAAGAGGAAGAAGAGGAGGAGGAGAAAGGAAAGAAAGGUCUUUGGAGGGGGGAUCUCAGAGGGUGGUAUCUUCGGGUUGAGAUGUACGCCCCUGAAAAGCCAGGCCUGCCAGCCACUUGGUCUCUUCCCUCCAGGUGAGAACACCAGGAGGCAUUUGCAGUCUGCCCCCCAGAAGAGGGGACCCCUGAGCCUGAGCAGGUGGGUAUUUUGAUCCCAGACAUCGUGAUCCCAGAACCAAAGGAAACAAAUUCCUGCGGGUGAUAAGCCACCCACUCUCAGCCAGCCUUGGACACCAAAAGUUUGAGACGGCAGAGCCAUGCGAUAGGUCCUGGGUCCCUGAAUCACCCCUUGAGGGACAGAUGCCCCACUCAGGAGCACUCAUCUGGGUUUGGGUUUCUUGCACUCAACACAUGAACUAGACUGAGCCGCUGUGCA